RNAcentral lists this ribosomal RNA (472 nucleotides) under Porphyromonas canoris. Its description in RNAcentral is "bacterial SSU rRNA". It matches the Rfam family "Bacterial small subunit ribosomal RNA", at positions 9 to 470 of the family's 1533-position model. Lineage: Bacteria; Pseudomonadati; Bacteroidota; Bacteroidia; Bacteroidales; Porphyromonadaceae. The record is from RNAcentral.
GAGUUUGAUUAUGGCUCAGGAUGAACGCUAGCGAUAGGCUUAACACAUGCAAGUCGAGGGGCAGCAUAGAAUCAGCUUGCUGAUUUGGAUGGCGACCGGCGGAUGGGUGCGUAACGCGUAUGCAACUUACCUGUCAGAGGGGGAUAACCCGGAGAAAUUCGGACUAAUACCGCAUACACUUGAGAUGCUGCAUGGUAUUUCAAGGAAAUAUUUAUAGCUGACAGAUAGGCAUGCGUUCCAUUAGCUGGUAGGUGAGGUAACGGCUCACCUAGGCGACGAUGGCUAGGGGAACUGAGAGGUUAAACCCCCACACUGGUACUGAGACACGGACCAGACUCCUACGGGAGGCAGCAGUGAGGAAUAUUGGUCAAUGGGCGAGAGCCUGAACCAGCCAAUUCGCGUGAAGGAUGACUGCCCUAUGGGUUGUAAACUUCUUUAGUAGGGGAUUAAAGUUUGCCUUGCGAGGCAAUNU